RNAcentral lists this ribosomal RNA (132 nucleotides) under Steinernema poinari. RNAcentral's name for it is "partial 18S ribosomal RNA". It matches the Rfam family "Eukaryotic small subunit ribosomal RNA", at positions 1705 to 1831 of the family's 1831-position model. Lineage: Eukaryota; Metazoa; Nematoda; Chromadorea; Rhabditida; Steinernematidae. The record is from RNAcentral.
AAUGCGGAGACUGCUACUUUGAAAUUCUUCGGAUGCUCAUUUGUUGGCGGAAACCGCCUUAAUCGAAAUGGCUUGAACCGGGCAAAAGUCGUAACAAGGUUUCCGUAGGUGAACCUGCGGAAGGAUCAUUAU